This 487-nucleotide ribosomal RNA is filed under the name uncultured bacterium. RNAcentral's name for it is "partial 16S ribosomal RNA". It matches the Rfam family "Bacterial small subunit ribosomal RNA", at positions 27 to 507 of the family's 1533-position model. The record is from RNAcentral.
GAUUGAACGCUGGCGGCAUGCCUUACACAUGCAAUUCGAACGGCAGCACGGGUGCUUGCCCCUGGUGGCGAGUGGCGAACGGGUGAGUAAUACAUCGGAACAUGUCCUGUAGUGGGGGAUAGCCCGGCGAAAGCCGGAUUAAUACCGCAUACGAUCUACGGAUGAAAGCGGGGGACCUUCGGGCCUCGCGCUUUAGGGUUGGCCGAUGGCUGAUUAGCUAGUUGGUGGGGUAAAGGCCUACCAAGGCGACGAUCAGUAGCUGGUCUGAGAGGACGACCAGCCACACUGGGACUGAGACACGGCCCAGACUCCUACGGGAGGCAGCAGUGGGGAAUUUUGGACAAUGGGCGAAAGCCUGAUCCAGCAAUGCCGCGUGUGUGAAGAAGGCCUUCGGGUUGUAAAGCACUUUUGUCCGGAAAGAAAUCCUUGGCCCUAAUACGGUCGGGGGAUGACGGUACCGGAAGAAUAAGCACCGGCUAACUACGUG